GGAGUUAAAGAGAAAUGUUCCUUGUAACAUUCUCACGUGUAAAAGAGCAUUUUCGUCAACUUUUUCAUAACUUCUAUCAUCGGGCGAUGUUUGUUUAGUGACCUUCCACUGACUUUAUUAUUAUUAUUAUUUUAUCAUUUGCUGUAAACUAAAUUAGCCUUUAUUCCUCUCGCGGAUUAUUGCAUUGUAGCUGUAAAAUCCCUAAUGUUUUACUACUUAAUUAUUACAGGGUUCUACAUGGCCUGGCUUUGUAAUGUCGGAAAUUAAAGAACGCUUUUGUGAUAAAACGUGAUUAAAAAGUUAGAAUCCAGAACAUUUUUUCUCUAUACAUUAAAUGUUGUAAUGUUUGAUUCUAAGUCGAAAUACAAAAAACAAACCUCCUAAAAUCUUUAUUUUUGAUUAAAUUCACAGCAAUGCCGUAAAUGACUUACAAAUAGGACCAUAGAAUAUUUGUUUUACGUUAUGUAUGGGUGUUAUUAAUGAUGUUAUUAAUGAUGUUAUUAAUGGUGUUAUUAAUGAUGUUAUUAAUGGCGUUAUUAAUGAUGACAAUCAUAUCGCUGACACCUACUAAAUCGAUUUUAAUUGAACAAACAGAAAAAAACAGCGCCGCCUAAAUAGUGUCUAACUGAGAUGACCGUCGUUUGAUAAAAUUCAAUCCAUUACAAUUUAAAUGAAAUGUUAUUUUUUGCGGUAACAUUUAUUAUUUUCUCUCUAACGAAUGAAACGGAAAGCAAGAGACCAGCUUUUGAUUUGCAUUUCUAAUGUAUCGUGGUUGAUUCUCACCAUCGCGUCUUAUUUUUCUCGUCCCGACGGGACGACGGGUAAAGACGAACCGUGACUCAUUUCUCAAGAUGCUCAUUUUGAUAAAUAAGUUCUGUGGUUUUGUAAUUAUUUUUGGCAUUUCAUUAGCCUGCAGGCCUUUUUGUUGAGCCAUUAAAACAUCGGGCCAUAACUCAGCUGAGCUCUGUUUCUAAUUCUCACAUGCUCUGGAAUAUUUUAUUUUCUCUUUUUAACAAAUAACCCGUUCUAAUUUUUCAUUGGAAUUGGACAUUUCAAAUAAAAUAAAUUGAGUUUUUGAUGGAAAAAUAUAAAUUUGAAUUAAAAUGAAAUGAGUAAAACGAAUUUCAGUCCAACCCGCUGUGCCUGUUGACAUGAUGUCAGCAGUGAUUGAAUAUAGAGGCAGAAUUAUCUAUUGUAUUUGUGUGAUCACGUCAAUAACCUCCACAUUCCAAGUUGAAAACCAUAGGCUUGCGUGAGACAUCUUGACAUUCAGACAGGUGUUUGAGCUUUGAACGAGAUCUUGUACCUUCGCUGUCAUUGAAGACAAAACCAAUACUAUUAAUAGAAAUGAAACAACUAUCCCAAAAAGUAACUCUCCCCUUGUUUGUGUCUUGAAGCUGAUUCACUUCCGAUGUUUUGCUUGCUUAGGACGCAGGCUGCUGGUACGUCCUGUAUGAGAAUAUUCUGGGCCCUCGAGGGCAGCUGUAACUUGUUAGAAAAUAGAGCUCACAUGGUCGCAUGAGUCUCCGCGCUAACCUGCCAUGUGACUGCUGUAAUGGGCCUCGCCAUGGCUGAGUCAACCACUGGGUCACAAGAAGCCCGUUUCCUGCGGCUGCGUGGGGGAGAGGAUGGGAGGAGGUCUCAUGAUCAGCCGAGGGGGGGUCAAAGAGUCAGCCUUUCAGGUGCACCUUAGUCACGGCUGUUUGUUUUUUUUCCUCUUUUCACGUGUGAUCCGUUUGGGAGGGUUGAGUUCAAGGCCGAAUGUUUUUUAUAUCGUUUCAGAUGGAAAGAAUGAAGCGGUCAGGUUGGAAGGAAGGACAAAGGGAGUGGAGGCGGAAGGGAAACGCCUUUUUCUUCUUUUUUUUUUGCUGUGGCCUUAAUACUUGAACAUCCCCCAGGGGAAAUUCCUGAAAUCUGACGAUGGAUGGAGAAAAAAAAAGGCGAGACACAGAUAGUGAGUGUGUGUGUGUGUGUGUGUGUGUGUGUUUCUGUGUGUGUGUGCGCGCGUGUGUGUGUGAGAGGGCGUCAGAUAAGACAAGCGUGCACAGCGGUCAAAUAUUCACAUGCUGGGUCACAUUCUGCAUUAAACUGAUGUAUAAUUGGUGGAAAGCAUUCAUUCCAUGUCAAUAGGCACAUUUUUGGCCUGAAAUGAAUGCCAUCAGUUGUUCCCAAUGACGGGUCUGAAAUCGCAAGUCAGAAAUGGCGAGGAUUGGAGCUGGACCAUGUUCCCUUCCUUCUCUCCGGGGCUCCCAGUUUUCAUCACAAAAUGUCCCCGUCAUUCCCGAGGUGUGAAGGGGAAUUCCGGCUUUGCAAUGAGACUAUCAAUAAUACCGAACCUCAUGUGGCUGAAAUAUUUAGACUUUCACAUCGUCCGGUGCAUGUGAUGAAGAGAAGCUCUCCUCCAGCUGAUGACCGAGACCUGUGCUGUGAUUUCACGAGAUAUCCUCGGUACGGGAGACGACAUCGCUGUGGCCGCCUGAGAGGACUUGUGUGUCCGGAGCCGUCGGGGAUUGGCCGCGUGUCAUCCUGGGUCUUCAGAAGGAACAGUGAAGGAACGUUGUGUUGGGGACUUGGGGAUGAGAGGUUUGGGGACCCGUUGAGUGGCUCAGAAUCAUGCUUUUAUUAUUGAAUCAUGCUCGGAGGAGAUUCUGGCAAAUGUGCAUCACACUGAGGGCUGCAGGUGUUUUCAAGCCGAGCGAUGAUGAUGCUGCGACACGCAUCCAUGGCGAUGAAUAAAAAAUGAUUCUGCUAUCUGACCCCUGUCACUCCUUUUCUUUUUUCUUCCCAUUUUCACCCACUAAAUUAGUGCAGCUGCACCACACUUAAAUGGGUGCCCCUCUUUUUUCUUCUUCCUCUGGGAGUGUAUGUGACCGACCAUGAAUCCUCUCUUUGUGCUGCGUCUGCAGAGCCCCCCUCCCCUACCACCACCACCACCACCCACCCCCCCACUAUAGUUUCUUGCCGUCUCUGGCUUUUUUUAUUUGGGAGAAGAGGGGCUUCGGUUGCAACGGCGGCAGCACUGGUGAGGUGGUGGUGGUGGCGACGGAGCGGGUAACUUGUUGG
This is a long non-coding RNA of Gasterosteus aculeatus aculeatus (three-spined stickleback), 3063 nucleotides long. The record is from Ensembl. NCBI's taxonomy places the organism in Eukaryota, Metazoa, Chordata, Actinopteri, Perciformes, Gasterosteidae.